CUCAAUAAUGUUUCACCUUUAUGACGGGGAUUAAUUUGUGUUUAAGUUUCUACUGUUUGUCAGUGAGGCUGACCAUAAGGAUGACGAGUCGUCGAAAAAUGAAUACUUUCAGUCGAUGCUCCACCAAAGGAAUAAUAAUAAUGCAGUCAAUCCAUCUCUUGGAUUACGUGGAAAUCCUUGAAGUCCAACAAAAUAAGAUUAACUGGUAUUCUCGGAUUGGUUAUAGAAACGAUGCAACCACUGCACUUGCACAUGACAUAAUAGACUUGCCUUGUGGCAUUGGGAUUCUACCUGAUUGAGGUACCAUGUGGUUGGAGUAUUUGAACAAACAAGGAUAAUAUAACUGACUGUGGUUAAUGUCGUCAUUACUACAUGUUUGUUGUUCUCUUAUAUGGCUUGCACCUAAGUUUCUAUGAUUGUGGUUCUGUUGGCUCUAAUUAUCUUGAUAAGUGUGUAAGUCGAUGGUGUCGCUGCCUAACGUUUCUACGCUAUUCUAGUAAUUUCUGUCUCCCUGGAAUAAUGAAUCGGUGUCCUGGCAAUGGUAUGAUAUCCAUAUACCGCACUGCACUUUCAAUAUAAAGGGAUCAUACCACUUGGAUACUGGUUCACAACUCCCGGAUACAAGACAAUAUCGUUCUGGUGACAAUUAGCGUCACCUAGGUUGGCUACUACCUAGGGCUUGGUCGGAAGAAUAACUAUGAUUUUCUAUGAAGGUUACUCCUAUGAGGUGAUUUUGUCAUUUUUUCGGAGCACAAAAUCAGUGAGGACUUUGGUACAACAGAAAGUGUCAAGUUUAUGACCUUCGCUAGAUUGCUCCAGUCACUAGUGUAGAUAAGUAUGUAAAUGGAUAGAGAUAGGGAAGCAAACACAAAAUGUACGUGGUUCACCUAGAUUGGCUACAUUCAUGAAGUAUAAGAGUUCUCAUUAAUUGUGAAGGGUCUACACAAGUACAUAGAUUCAAGCUCUCCUUUAGUGAGUAAUAGUGAAUGAUUUAGUACAAAUGACAUUAGGAAAUAUUGCGAGAGAAUGAUCUCUAUUUAUAGAAGAGAGUUUCUAGUUUCAUUCUGACAUUGACACGUGUCGUGUUAUGAUUGGCUUUUGAUGUUGACACGUGCUGCGCUAUGAUUGGCUUAUGAUGUUGACACAUGUUGCGCUGUGAUUGGCCUCCUGGUUGGAGGGAAACUCUUCUAGGUCCUUGACGGUAUAACGUUGACCGGUGCUCAGUAGUUUCGGGAUUGGUCAAGUAUGGUACAAACAGUGCUCCCCUAAGUUCUCGAGUGAGGGAAGCUCCUCGGUUAGGGACUUGCAAGAUCCAAGCCAUUGAGUAAUCACGAAACUUCUAAGUACCGAAAUGUGGUAUCAUUUUCACUUGCCUUAUCUGUCUCAUAUGUAGAUGUGGCAUUUUCUCUGGAAGUACUUUUCCUCCAUUCAGGGGUGGUAUCUUUAACCAAUGAAGAUGCACAAGGUAAUGUAUCAAUUUCACUUGAAGCUUACUUGUAGUUUCGGGCUUAGUCAAGUGCGAUACAAACCCUAUAGUAGGAGUGCCCCAAGUCGCCGAGCUAGGAGAUUUGCCGAAUGAGGUAACA
This 1586-nucleotide long non-coding RNA is filed under the name Malus domestica (apple). RNAcentral describes it as "long non-coding RNA (MDOM_LNC000509)". The record is from RNAcentral. Lineage: Eukaryota; Viridiplantae; Streptophyta; Magnoliopsida; Rosales; Rosaceae.